Molecule: long non-coding RNA, 357 nt
Organism: Ctenocephalides felis (cat flea)
Lineage: Eukaryota; Metazoa; Arthropoda; Insecta; Siphonaptera; Pulicidae
Exons: 4
Source: RefSeq, a predicted model, not a curated record
GCGGCACCAGCAUCGGAUAAUUGGAGUCUUCAUGAGGUGGAUGUACGAGAUUACGCGAAUACAUAUUAAAUUGCCUUGGAAAAGUUAAAAAUAUUGCAACAAAAGGAAUAUGCGUUUUCUACGGACAAUGAAGAAACCAUAAACAGAAGGCAAGAUGUUCUGAAAAAACAAUACCGCUUGAAUAAAGGGCGUUUUGUAAAUCAGAAUAACGUCGAUCAGCAGUUGUCGGAAUGUAACAUAAAUUUAGGCAAUAAGUCGCGCAAUGCUUCAAUGUUUAAUGUCUUAAAGACAGUGAACUUGUGAAGUGUUUAUAUGGUAUAAUGACAACUGAAUCAAUUAAAAAUCCGCAGUUGAGCC